RNAcentral lists this ribosomal RNA (514 nucleotides) under uncultured bacterium. RNAcentral's name for it is "partial 16S ribosomal RNA". It matches the Rfam family "Bacterial small subunit ribosomal RNA", at positions 28 to 523 of the family's 1533-position model. The record is from RNAcentral.
GAUGAACGCUGGCGGCGUGCCUAAUACAUGCAAGUCGAGCGAACAGAUGAGAAGCUUGCUUCUCUGGUGUUAGCGGCGGACGGGUGAGUAACACGUGGGUAACCUACCUAUAAGACUGGGAUAACUCCGGGAAACCGGGGCUAAUACCGGAUAAUAUUUUGAACCGCAUGGUUCAAUAGUGAAAGACGGUUUCGGCUGUCACUUAUAGAUGGACCCGCGCCGUAUUAGCUAGUUGGUAAGGUAACGGCUUACCAAGGCGACGAUACGUAGCCGACCUGAGAGGGUGAUCGGCCACACUGGAACUGAGACACGGUCCAGACUCCUACGGGAGGCAGCAGUAGGGAAUCUUCCGCAAUGGGCGAAAGCCUGACGGAGCAACGCCGCGUGAGUGAUGAAGGUCUCCGGAUCGUAAAACUCUGUUGUUAGGGAAGAACAAAUUUGUUAGUAACUGAACAAGUCUUGACGGUACCUAACCAGAAAGCCACGGCUAACUACGUGCCAGCCGCCGCGGUAA